GAUUGGCUCAGAUUGAACGCUGGCGGCAGGCUUAACACAUGCAAGUCGAACGGUAACAUAAAGAAGCUUGCUUCUUUGAUGACGAGUGGCGGACGGGUGAGUAAUGCUUGGGAAUCUAGCUUAUGGAGGGGGAUAACUACGGGAAACUGUAGCUAAUACCGCGUAAUAUCGAAAGAUUAGAGUGUGGGACCUUCGGGCCACAUGCCAUAAGAUGAGCCCAAGUGGGAUUAGGUAGUUGGUGAGGUAAAGG
Molecule: ribosomal RNA, 250 nt
Filed under: uncultured bacterium
Lineage: Bacteria
Description: partial 16S ribosomal RNA
Rfam family: Bacterial small subunit ribosomal RNA
Source: RNAcentral